This is a long non-coding RNA of Clupea harengus (Atlantic herring), 1392 nucleotides long. The record is from Ensembl. NCBI's taxonomy places the organism in Eukaryota, Metazoa, Chordata, Actinopteri, Clupeiformes, Clupeidae.
GUGUCCGUGUGUUGUUGCGGAGGCAAGACGAGCCGAGACGAGGCGUGUGAGACAUGGCUGCAGCACAGGGCUCAAUUAGCUCUUUUCAUGUGAGAUCAAAGCGUCGGAGGCCCACGACCGGACAUCUACACAAGCUGCUGGACGUUUACACGAGCGGCCGGCCAAUUAAAGAGCACUGAUCACAGGGGGCGGAAUGCACGGCCAUGCCUCAGAUCUCGACAGAGACGUGUGAACGAGGCAUCACCUGAUGGUUAUACUGGUACCAGUAUGAACAAGGCAUCACCUGAGAGUGUGCGUGCGUGCGUGCGUGCGUGUGUGUUGGUCCCCUCUCUGUAUACUGGUGCUAGUAUGAACGAAGCAUCACCUCAUGGUUAUACUGGGUCUAGUGCAUAAACACAGAGAUUAUGUAGUGAGCUCAUUUUAUACAGAAAUCAAAAGCAUACUACAAUAACACUUAUUCAUGAAUCCAUUUCUUCUCCAUUCAGAGAUUGUUGCAUCUGGAAAUGGGUGCAAAUGAGUCUGUUAUGAAGUGUGCAAUUUUGUAACUUUUUUUUUAGAGUAAUUUUUAAGCAAUUUUAAAAUGUCUGUUGUGUCUGUGUGUCUGAUGAGAAAGACGUGGGUUAAGAGGUUAAGACACUGUGUGUGUGUGUGUGUGUGUGUGUGUGUGUGUGUGUGUGUGUGUGUAUCUAUCCGAUGAGAAAGGUGUUGGUUAAGACAUUAAGACACUGUGUGUGUGUGUGUGUGUGUGUAUCUGACACUGAGACAGAUGCCAAGGGUGUGUGCACAUGUGGAGUGACCAGGGUGGCGGGAAGGAGUGUGGAUGAUGAACUGACUGUGUGUGAGUGUGAUUGGUGUUGGAAGUCAACAGCAGAUAGGAUUGUGUGUGUGUGUGUGUGUGUUCUCCUGUGUAUGCAUGUGUGUGUGUGUUGUGUUCUCCUGUGUAUGCAUGUGUGUGUGUGUUGUGUUCUCCUGUGUAUGCAUGUGUGUGUGUGUGUGUUCUCCUGUGUAUGCAUGUGUGUGUGUGUUCUCCUGUUUAUGCAUGUGUGUGUGUGUUCUCCUGUGUAUGCAUGUGUCUGUGUGUGUGUGUGUGUGUGUAUGCAUGUGUGUGUGUGUGUGUGUCUGACUAGACAUCCCUGCAUAACUCCACAGAGAGGAUGUGAAGGCCAGUGGGGGACAUGAGUCUCAGACAGGUGCAGUGACCCUCCUGACCUCUGGAGGUGCUAUUUCUGCUUUAUUGGACAUUUACGGCUGGCCAGUUGCCUUUUAACAUGGCCACCUGGAGCCAAUCAGGGCCCAGCGUCCAGGCUGCCCAGCGCAAUCACUGAGGCCCCAGGGGAGGAGGCCUGUUAGGACAUUUACGACCCGGAAAGUGGUCCGGGGGGAAAACAAGGA